GGGUUCUCUUGCCGAUAUCAUAAAAAUUAGGAAGAGCAUUCCAGAACCUAUCCUUUCCUCAAUGGUUCAAAAGCUCUUGCAUGGUCUCAGUUAUUUGCACGGAGUCCGACAUUUAGUCCACAGAGACAUAAAGCCAGCAAAUCUACUUGUCAAUCUCAAGGGGGAGCCCAAAAUAACUGAUUUUGGAAUUAGUGCUGGUUUAGAAAGCUCAAUUGCUAUGUGUGCUACUUUUGUUGGAACAGUAACUUACAUGUCGCCGGAACGAAUACGGAAUGAGAAUUACUCUUAUCCAGCUGACAUCUGGAGCCUUGGGCUUGCACUGUUUGAGUGUGGUACAGGUGAAUUUCCAUAUACAGCUAAUGAAGGACCUGUCAAUCUCAUGUUGCAGAUCCUAGAUGAUCCGUCUCCUUCACUGUCAAGACACGACUAUUCACCAGAAUUUUGCUCAUUCGUUGAUGCUUGCCUCAAAAAAAAUCCUGAUGACAGGCUGACAGCAGAUCAGCUUCUAUCACAUCCAUUCAUUAUGAAGUAUAGCGAUUCUGCAUUAGACUUGGGUACUUUUGUCAGAGACAUUUUUGAUCCAACACAGAGGAUGAAGGAUCUGGCGGAUAUGCUGACAAUACAUUAUUAUUUACUAUUUGAUGGAUCCGAUGAAUUUUGGCAGCAUAUCAAGACAUUAUAUAAUGAAUGCUCCACUUUCAGUUUUGGCGGAAAAGAAUCCAUCGGUCCCAACAAUAUUUUUUCAACCCUGUCUAACAUACGGAACACAUUAGCUGGAGAAUGGCCUCCAGAAAAGCUUGUCCAUGUUGUAGAGAAACUUCAAUGUCGAGCUAAUGGUCAAGACGGAGUAGCAAUUCGUGUCUCUGGGUCUUUUAUAGUUGGAAAUCAAUUCCUCAUUUGUGGAGAUGGUAUGCAAGUUGAGGGUCUGCCAAACUUGAAAGAUCUCUCUAUUGACAUACCCAGCAAACGGAUGGGAACCUUUCAUGAACAGUUUAUUGUAGAGAAAGCAAACAUUAU
This 1017-nucleotide unclassified non-coding RNA is filed under the name Hevea brasiliensis (rubber tree). The record is from RNAcentral. Lineage: Eukaryota; Viridiplantae; Streptophyta; Magnoliopsida; Malpighiales; Euphorbiaceae.